CAUGAAGAAAGAGCAGUCAGCUUGCAGAGGCAGAGACAGAGGAAAACAUCAUCCAUGCCCUGAAAGAAGGGAUUACUACCCCUUAGGCUUCAUCCAGCACCAGAGGCCACCCAGCAGUCAUAAUGGUUGGGUCCUCUGGUGGUGAGGAGAGAGCUAAGCCUUCAGUGUUAUUCAAGGCUUCUGAGCCCACCUGCUUAAGGGAAAUAGCAGUUGAUAGGGUUCUACUCUUGGGAUUAACCCAAAAUAAUUGAUGUCUUUGUUUACUUAGUCUUCCAGCUGUGGCAUGGCACCACCUUAUAUCAUGAUUUAAUAUGAUAUAAUAUUAACCUGUGAAUCUCUUACAGAUUUAAAAGCAGUUGUGUCCAUUUUGCUGAACCACCUAGAGUCGCCUCUUGAGAGAUGGCCAAUAGACUUUUUCAGACUUUCCCCCCCAAUCAGAUGGAUACAGCCUGAUGGCUGCAAGCACCCUGUGGACUAAACUCCUUUGCAAUGGUGACCAACUGACUGGCUUGUUGAAUGUGCUCUUAGUUGCCUGUCAUCUUUGCAGCUGGGCUGCCUUAGAAGAUAGCCACAACCACUGACCAUACUGGACUUGGUUAUGAAACCAUAGUUGGACCCAUGUAGAGACAUUAGCCUGGGGGCAAUACAAUAGAACCUUAUUAGGGCUGGUUUUUUUUUUAAGAUUUUAUUUAUUCAUUUGAGAGGCAGAGCUACAGACAGUGAGAUGGCCACAACAGCCAGAGCUGUGCUGAUCCAAAGCUAGGAGCCAGGUGCUUCUUCUGGGUCUCCCACGUGGGUGCAGGGGCCCAAAGACUUGAGCCAUCGUACACUGCUUUCCCAGGUCACAGCAGAGAGCUGGAUUGGAAGAGGGGCGGCUGGGACUAGAACUGGCACCCACAUGGAUGCCAGCACUGCAGGUGGAGGAUUAACCCACUGAGCCAUGGAGCCAGCCCCAGGGUUGGAGUUUUCUCUGCUAUGUCUUAUAGUUUGUUGCUGUAACUUGUCUUGUUAUAGCCUUUAGAUAUCAAGAUCCAUACCCUAUGUGUACUCCUUGCACAGGGAUCCUUCUGGAUGAUAACAUACAGAUAGGGUAUAAGUCAAGGAAACUUGAAGGGUGAAAUGUUGAGGAGAAGAACUUGGGAAGGUGAAGUUAUCAAUUUCCAAGCCUUUAGCCCUUGCCCCCUUAUUCUGUGCCUCUGUGGUAACUGGCACCAUGGUAACUAACAGGUGCACCUGCUUGGCUAGCUGCCCACAAAUCUUUUAUGCAAUGGUUUGGCUCUGGGUCACUUUGCAAACCCAGACAAGCAACUUGGAGGCAUAUCUAGAUGUGGCUGCUUGUGGACCUGUGGAUGUGUAACUGGAUGUGGCUGUGUGUGGAUGUUUGCUGAUGUCUGUGUGUGUGUCUGAUUUCCACCAUGGACGCAAAGGCAGAUAUUGAUUGUGGCCUCACUGCCACUGGGGGCUGUUCCUUGUGCAGUUCUCACUGUCCCUGUGAAUACUGGAAAUAUAAGCCCACAAAGGGUUCUCAGUUGUUCUCUGACCUGUUGGAAUCGGGAUCUGCUUGUCCUGAACCCUAAGUCCUGAGCAUACAAUUAACAAUUCUGAUCUACUGGAGAGAAAGAAGAUAGGAAGAAUUAUCCAUUCUGUGUUUUAGUUGUCUCCCUCUACAUUUUCUUCUUGGACUCUUCAUUUUUCUUAUUUUUAAAAACUUAUUUAUUUAUUUAUUUGACACGUAGAGUUACAGACAGUGAGAAGGAGAGACAGAAAGAAAGGUCGUCCAUCUGCUGGUUCACUCCCCAAAUGGCCACAAUGGCUGGAGAUGGGCCAAUUCGAAGCCAGGAGCCAGGAGUUUCUUCUGUGUCCCCCACUUGGGCACAGGGGCCCAAAUACUUGGGCCAUAGUCCACUACUUUCCCAGGCCAUAGCAGAGAGCUGGAUCAGAAGAGGAGCAGUUGGGACCAAACCUGGCACCUGGCACUGCAGGUGGAUGAUUAACCUAUUGAACCUCAGCGCCAGCCUCCCUCUUGUAUUUGUUAACUUCCACUCAACACCAUGUAAUUGCUAUUCAAGGGGUUGUAUUCUGUGAUUGUGCUUACUCUUUCCUCCAGGCAGUAAGCUUGGUUCAGAGGUGGACAAGAGACCCAAGCGAUUUUAGCCAACAUCCUUUUGAGGAUUUAAUAUGGCAACAGGAGAAAACAGGUUUCUUCACUUUUCUGUGAGUGAUGUACUUGCAACGACCACAGGAACCUGGAUCUGUGGUUCCUGCAUGGGGGACCGCCUGUUUGAGAAUGAAGCCAAAACAGAGAAGAACAGAUACGUGGAAUAAGCUAAAGUCCUGUCCCCUGAGCAAUUUUGUCCUUCCUGCCUGAGCUACAUUAACCCUACUUACACUAGUUUCUUUUUUCACAGUAGCUGAGUUCUGAUGAAUAUAUGUCUCAUCUUUCACUCUGUCAAUACAAAAGGAAACAGAGAAAAUAUGAACUUCACCACUUUAUUUUUGAAAUCACAAGCAAUCAAAGUGACCAUCAUUGAGGCUUCUGUUAAAAUAUUUCCAGCAGAGCUGCCCCAGUUUUAAGAUAAACAAUAUUGCACUUUAAGAUCAACUAACUUUCAGGAUCCUCUUCAAAGAAGGAAAGUAUUGCUUCAUCUGUGCUUUUCUUAGACUAAAA
Molecule: non-coding RNA, 2668 nt
Organism: Oryctolagus cuniculus (rabbit)
Lineage: Eukaryota; Metazoa; Chordata; Mammalia; Lagomorpha; Leporidae
Source: RefSeq, a predicted model, not a curated record